Bos taurus (domestic cattle) is the source of this 697-nucleotide long non-coding RNA. The record is from Ensembl. Lineage: Eukaryota; Metazoa; Chordata; Mammalia; Artiodactyla; Bovidae.
GGUCUGAUCUUGUUUCUCUGUAGUGCUAACAUUCCAUUGUCUGGAUUUAUCACGGUUUGUUUAUCCAUUCAUUUAUCGAGGGGCAUCUUGGCUGCCUUCAAAUUUUGGCAAUUGUGAAUAAAGCAGCUAGAAACACUUGUGUGCAGGUUUCUGUGUGGACCUAAGUUUUUAAUACAUUUGGGUAAAUACCUUGGAGCAGAAUUGUGAGAUGAUAAGAGGAUAUUUAGUUUUUCCUUUUAUUAUUUUGUCUUUGGUUGUGCUGGGUCUUAGUUGCUGCAUGGGCUUUUUCUAGUUGCAGCAGGUGGGGCCUAUUCUCUAAUUGUGGUGUGUGGGCCUUUCAUUGCGGCGGCUUCUGUUGAGGAGCACGGGCUUUAGGGUUUGCAGGCUUCAGAAGUUGUGGCACUCAGGCUUAGUUGCUCUGCAGCAUGUAGAAUCUUCCCAGACCAGGGAUCGAUCCCGUGUACCCUGCAUUGGCAAGAGGAUUCAUAACCACUUGUGCUCCAGGCUUUGCCGAACGGGCACCGCCAUCAUCGGAACAUCGACCUGCACUUGGCCCAUGGGCCGGCUCUGCUCAUCCCCGGCCCAGCCUGUCCGCCUCCUGCCUUCAUGCACGACCUUGGAAGCCUCACUUCUGAGACUCAGGGGUCCUCGGCCACGCUUUCCCCACAGACCUCUCCACCACCCAUCCCAUCCCAUC